GUUGAACCUGUGGGAAGAUGGUUUGAAGCUUUUGUUAAGAGGAGAAACAGAAAUGCUUCUGCCUCUUUUCAGGAACUGGAGGAUAAGAAAGAGUUAUCUGAGGAAUCAGAAGAUGAAGAAUUGCAGUUGGAAGAGUUUCCCAUGCUGAAAACACUUGAUCCCAAAGACUGGAAGAACCAAGAUCAUUAUGCAGUUCUUGGACUUGGCCAUGUGAGAUACAAGGCUACACAGAGACAGAUCAAAGCAGCUCAUAAAGCAAUGGUUUUAAAACAUCACCCAGACAAACGGAAAGCAGCUGGUGAACCAAUAAAAGAAGGAGAUAAUGACUACUUCACUUGCAUAACUAAAGGAUCCCCAGGUGAUUCUUAUCAGAAGCUCAUCCUACAGUUAAUUCAUCUUAUGAAAUGUUAUCUGAUCCAGUGAAAAGACGAGCAUUUAACAGUGUAGAUCCUACUUUUGAUAACUCAGUUCCUUCUAAAAGUGAAGCAAAGGAUAAUUUCUUCGAAGUGUUUACCCCAGUGUUUGAAAGGAAUUCCAGAUGGUCAAAUAAAAAAAAUGUUCCUAAACUUGGUGAUAUGAAUUCAUCAUUUGAAGAUGUAGAUAUAUUUUAUUCUUUCUGGUAUAAUUUUGAUUCUUGGAGAGAAUUUUCUUAUUUAGAUGAAGAAGAAAAAGAAAAAGCAGAAUGUCGUGAUGAGAGGAGAUGGAUUGAAAAGCAGAACAGAGCAACAAGAGCACAAAGAAAAAAAGAAGAAAUGAACAGAAUAAGAACAUUAGUUGGUAAGUAGAAUUGAUUUUUUUUAAGUCCCCUAAAUGUUAGAAAUUCAAAAUGAGAUUAACUUUUUCUUUUGCUAGACAAUGCAUAUAGCUGUGAUCCAAGGAUAAAAAAGUUCAAGGAAGAAGAAAAAGCCAAGAAAGAAGCAGAAAAGAAAGCAAAAGUAGAAGCUAAACGGAAGGAGCAAGAAGCUAAAGAAAAACAAAGACAAGCUGAAUUAGAAGCUGCUCGGUUAGCUAAGGAGAAAGAAGAGGAGGAAGUUAGACAGCAAGCAUUGCUGGCAAAGAAGGAAAAAGAUAUCCAGAAAAAAGCCAUUAAGAAGGAAAGGCAAAAACUUCGAAACUCAUGCAAGACCUGGAAUCAUUUUUCUGAUAAUGAGGCAGAGCGGGUUAAAAUGAUGGAAGAAGUGGAAAAGCUUUGUGAUCGGCUUGAACUGGCAAGGUAUACCUAUGGAACUGCUAUUGAAGUCUUCAUUUGAGCUUAGGAUAAAGUUUCAUUUCUUCUUUUUUUUUUCUUUAGCUUACAGUGCUUGAAUGAAACACUCACAUCAUGCACAAAAGAAGUAGGAAAGGCUGCUUUGGAAAAACAGAUAGAAGAAAUAAAUGAGCAAAUCAGAAAAGAGAAAGAGGAAGCUGAGGCUCGUAUGCGACAAGCAUCUAAGAACACAGAGAAAUCAACUGGUGGAGGUGGAAAUGGAAGUAAAAAUUGGUCAGAAGAUGAUCUACAAUUACUAAUUAAAGCUGUGAAUCUGUUCCCUGCUGGAACAAAUUCAAGAUGGGAAGUUAUUGCUAAUUACAUGAACAUACAUUCUUCCUCUGGAGUCAAAAGAACUGCCAAAGAUGUUAUUGGCAAAGCAAAGAGUCUCCAAAAACUUGACCCUCAUCAAAAAGAUGACAUAAAUAAAAAGGCAUUUGAUAAGUUUAAAAAAGAACACGGAGUGGUACCUCAAGCAGACAACGCAACGCCUUCAGAACGAUUUGAAGGUCCAUACACAGACUUCACCCCUUGGACAACGGAAGAACAGAAGCUUUUGGAACAAGCUUUGAAAACAUACCCAGUAAAUACACCUGAAAGAUGGGAAAAAAUAGCAGAAGCGGUGCCUGGCAGGACAAAGAAGGACUGCAUGAAACGAUACAAGGAACUUGUCGAGAUGGUAAAAGCAAAGAAAGCUGCUCAAGAACAAGUGCUGAAUGCCAGUAGAGCCAAGAAAUGACAAUCUUUGUUGUGUGUGCAUUUUUAUAAUAAAACUGAAAAUACUGUAAA
Molecule: small RNA, 2035 nt
Filed under: Pongo abelii (Sumatran orangutan)
Lineage: Eukaryota; Metazoa; Chordata; Mammalia; Primates; Hominidae
Description: retained intron
Source: RNAcentral